CCUACGGGGGGCAGCAGUGGGGGAUAUUGCACAAUGGGGGGAACCCUGAUGCAGCGACGCCGCGUGGGUGAAGGAGCGUUUCGGCGCGUAAAGCCCUAUCGGCAGGGGAGAAGGAGGACGGUACCUGACUAAGAAGCCCCGGCUAACUACGUGCCAGCAGCCGCGGUAAUACGUAGGGGGCAAGCGUUAUCCGGAUUUACUGGGUGUAAAGGGGGCGCAGACGGCAGCGCAAGCCAGUAGUGAAAGCCCGGGGCACAACCCCGGGACUGCUAUGGGAACUGCGCGGCUGGAGGGCAGGAGGGGGAGGCGGAAGUCGGGGUGUAGGGGUGAAAUGCGGAGAUAUCGGGAGGAA
Molecule: ribosomal RNA, 352 nt
Filed under: uncultured bacterium
Lineage: Bacteria
Description: partial 16S ribosomal RNA
Rfam family: Bacterial small subunit ribosomal RNA
Source: RNAcentral